UAACGUUCAUUUAUCUCAUUAUAG
This 24-nucleotide non-coding RNA is filed under the name Cricetulus griseus (Chinese hamster). Lineage: Eukaryota; Metazoa; Chordata; Mammalia; Rodentia; Cricetidae. The record is from RNAcentral.